CUCGUAGGCGGCCAACUAAGUCACACGUGAAAUCCCCAGGCUUAACCUGGGAACUGCGUGUGAUACUGGAUGGCUUGAAUUCGGGAGAGGGAUGCAGAAUUCCAGGUGUAGCGGUGAAAUGCGUAGAUAUCUGGAGGAAUACCGGUGGCGAAGGCGGCAUCCUGACCGACAUUGACGCUGAGGAGCGAAAGCUAGGGGAGCAAACG
RNAcentral lists this ribosomal RNA (206 nucleotides) under uncultured bacterium. RNAcentral's name for it is "partial 16S ribosomal RNA". It matches the Rfam family "Bacterial small subunit ribosomal RNA", at positions 568 to 774 of the family's 1533-position model. The record is from RNAcentral.